This is a long non-coding RNA of Gopherus flavomarginatus (Mexican gopher tortoise), 580 nucleotides long. RefSeq lists it as uncharacterized. The record is from RefSeq and is a predicted model, not a curated record. The transcript is spliced from 3 exons. Lineage: Eukaryota; Metazoa; Chordata; Testudines; Testudinidae.
GGGGGCCUCCCCGCCACGCUGCGCUUCUUAAAGGGGCAGAAGCCCUGUUACGCUUUGUUUUGACAGGCGCCCCCGGCCGGCCUCACCGAGACCAGCCAGGAGCACUCAUGGGCUGAUGAAGACGGAUAUCAGUCAUAUUGCACCAUCUGCCAACGGGAAGGGGAUGCUGGUGUUCAGCGCUGCAGCACCCUGUCUACCAGCAGCAUGCAGUAGACAUAGGGUGACAUUGAAAAAAGAGGCAGUGGGGUCUAAACACAUACCUGAAUUAUAAUGCUGUAUGAUUGAAGAUGACCAUUUGUAUCGCUGUUAUUCAAUUGCAACAUCUUAUACAAAGUGUAUCAUGUAAGGUGUCAAUGGAAAAAGUUCGAAUUUGUCAGCUAUGAUUAUCCUGGUUAAAUCCAUGCAUCACUGUAUCUGAAGUUACAAAUAUUGGAUAUAGAUCUGUAUCUCAAACUUGUAUGCCUGGGUGACACCUUAGAACUAGAUUUAUAUCAGGGCUAGCCAACUCUGUGUUGGUGGCCCAUUAAGGACACUCCACUCUCACAAUGGGCCAUUGCAGAGGCAGGCCUUUCUUGUGGAU